AACGAACGCUGGCGGCAUGCCUAACACAUGCAAGUCGAGCGCGCCCUUCGGGGUUAGCGGCGGACGGGUGGGUAACGCGUGGGAACGUGCCCUUUUCUACGGAAUAUCCUCGGGAAACUGAGAGUAAUAACGUAGACGCCCUAUGGGGGAAAGAUUUCGCGGAAAAGGAUCGGCCCGCGUUGGAUUAGGUAGUUGGGAGGGUAAUGGCCUGCGAAGCCGACGGUCCAUAGAUGGUUUGAGAGGAUGGGCAGACACACUGAGACUGAGACACGGUCCAGACUCCUACGCGAGGGAGGAGUGGGGAAUCUUAGACAACGGGGGCAACCAUGAUCGAGCCAUGGCGCGUGAGUGAUGAAGGCCGUAGAGUUGUAAAGCUCUUUAAGCUGGGAAGAUAAUGACGGUACCAGAAGAAGAAGCCCCGGCUAACUCCGUG
This 433-nucleotide ribosomal RNA is filed under the name uncultured bacterium. Its description in RNAcentral is "partial 16S ribosomal RNA". It matches the Rfam family "Bacterial small subunit ribosomal RNA", at positions 29 to 507 of the family's 1533-position model. The record is from RNAcentral.